Molecule: ribosomal RNA, 429 nt
Filed under: Chloroflexota bacterium
Lineage: Bacteria; Bacillati; Chloroflexota
Description: Chloroflexi bacterium partial 16S ribosomal RNA
Rfam family: Bacterial small subunit ribosomal RNA
Source: RNAcentral
UGGGGAAUAUUGCACAAUGGGCGCAAGCCUGAUGCAGCCAUGCCGCGUGUGUGAAGAAGGCCUUCGGGUUGUAAAGCACUUUCAGCGGGGAGGAAGGCGUUAAGGUUAAUAACCUUGGCGAUUGACGUUACCCGCAGAAGAAGCACCGGCUAACUCCGUGCCAGCAGCCGCGGUAAUACGGAGGGUGCAAGCGUUAAUCGGAAUUACUGGGCGUAAAGCGCACGCAGGCGGUCUGUCAAGUCGGAUGUGAAAUCCCCGGGCUCAACCUGGGAACUGCAUUCGAAACUGGCAGGCUAGAGUCUUGUAGAGGGGGGUAGAAUUCCAGGUGUAGCGGUGAAAUGCGUAGAGAUCUGGAGGAAUACCGGUGGCGAAGGCGGCCCCCUGGACAACGACUGACGCUCAGGUGCGAAAGCGUGGGGAGCAAACAGG